GGGGCUGUCUUGGUUUCGACAGGUUUAAGUUUGAUUCAGAUUGCAGUGGAGUGGUGUCCUAAACACCAAUUAAAUUUAAACGCAAAUAGAAACAAUAGUUUCGCUUUCGCUGCCUAAGGACACUAGAGGUGUCGCAGCGACCCAAUCAAUGUAUUGCCAGUUGAUAUUGAUUGCGUAAUUAAUUGGAUACGGUGAACCUUAAGCUUGUAAGGGAAUCCCGACAAUUCUACAAGCAAAUUCAACAUAUGGAAUGUUCAUCCUCAUAUAUGUUGUCUUAUUAAGUGAUGAACUAAACUGUAGAUAUCUGAAUGUGGGACUAUUCUUGGACAGGGGUUCGAACCCCCUCAGCUCCACCA
Molecule: transfer-messenger RNA, 356 nt
Filed under: Erysipelotrichaceae
Lineage: Bacteria; Bacillati; Bacillota; Erysipelotrichia; Erysipelotrichales
Also listed under: 1 other name
Description: Bulleidia sp017941735 Standard tmRNA
Rfam family: transfer-messenger RNA
About the family: Bacterial tmRNA, also known as 10Sa RNA or SsrA, is named for its dual tRNA and mRNA-like properties. Its role is to liberate the mRNA from a stalled ribosome. To accomplish this part of the tmRNA is used as a reading frame that ends in a translation stop signal.
Source: RNAcentral